Cyanistes caeruleus (blue tit) is the source of this 1900-nucleotide long non-coding RNA. Lineage: Eukaryota; Metazoa; Chordata; Aves; Passeriformes; Paridae. The record is from Ensembl.
CAGAUUCUCAAGUCCCAAGUUGUAGAAGAGAGCUGACUUUGCCGCAAAAAAUCAGGUUCUCUUAAAUGCCUGCAGCACUCUGGGAAACUUGAGCCUGAAACAAUAAAUCUUUCCUGAAACAGAGUGAUCUGUGAGUAAGUUAGCACUGUGUACUUUGUUGUAAAAAUAUAUGUUGGGUACAUAAGACUUGGCAGUUUUGUUCUUUCUUUUCCAGAUUGCAUGAUCUUUGCACUUUGCUGUCACACAAAGAUCUUCAAAUAUGCACAUGCUAAAUGAUAUAUUCUAUCCAAAUACAUUGCAGAGAGAAUUGUGUAAUUUACUUGCCCUUUGUAUCUAAGCAGUCCAUGAAGAGAGAAUAAUUUGCUGUGGAGAAAUAACAGGUGAGGAAACUAAGAUAGAUAAAGACCAGGUGAACUGUCCAAAUGACACAGCUACCCUGGGGCUGGCAAACUCCAAACGCUUUUAACCUUGGUCCUACAGAGGAGUGGUGCAGCAGGCUGUUCUGCAGACUGCUGUGCUUGCCAGCUCACUGCACACCUGAAUGCCAUGUGGCAGCCAAAGAAGUGCAGCACUUAAUUACCUCAAUGAUUUACCUGAAGCUAUUUCAAUGCAAGAGCUGCUGUCGUGGGCCAGUGUCCUGUUGUGCUAGGAACUUCAGAAGCAUCAAAAAGAAAGAUAAAAUCAAAUGGAUAAGGAGCAGAAAGAACCUUGAGAUGCAUUUUCUCUUCUGCUGAUAUGCCAAUGCCUCACAGAAGCCACCCAGACUGAGGCUGUUGGCCUGAUCCCAGCACGUGCCCUCCUUUGUUGUCAUGGCAAUUUAACUACAGGAGGAACAAAAUCCAUCAGCUGAGCAAGGGGUGGAUUUUCACUUCACAAAACUUCCAGAGAAACCAAAGUUGUGAAAGGCAUCUGAAGUCUGAUGCAACAAAAUCUGGGGCAGGGGGAGGGACCAGCACCUUCUCCCUGGCUCCUUGCUGUGCACAUAACCCACAUAGCUCAGGGAUGUCCUUGCUGCUCCUGCUCACAUCUCCCAGAAAAUCCAUCUCUGUGUGUUGGAUGGAAGCUGGAGAGGAAAUAGGUGCAGAUUCUGCAUUGUUUCUCCAUUCCUGCUGUUCUCAUCUCUGAAAUCCAACUGCUCUGGUCUUUAGAAAAGCUGAUUUUCUCUGAAAUGCAAAAAGCAAUGUCACUGCUAGUGUGGGAUGUGAUGGCUCUGUCACUGACUGAUGUAACACAGGGCCAUUUUCUGCUGGUGGCUGGGAGCUCUGGGAGCUCUCAGGAAGAGAAACAGAAGAGUUCUGGGUAAAUCACAGCAUUGCCAGAAAGGUUUCACUUCUAAUAUUUAAUGAUUUUCUUUUCCUUAACUGAGGAAUGAGAGCUGUAACAAUUGUAAAGUAUAUUAAAUAAUCUUCACAGAUUUGUUUCAGUCUUUCUAAUGUAAUGGUGUUUUCUAAACAUUAUUUUUGGUGGCUUUUACUUCAGAUUUCUGCCCCAUUGCUUAACUAGAGCAAAAAUAGGGUGAUAUAUAGCAUAACUAAUUAGCAACUGUAAGAUAAAAAGAUACAUCUGUGCUCUACAUUUGCAUUACACAAGGUUAGACCUUGUAAAUUAGAUGAAACACCACUAAUAAUCAAACAAAUGAGGUCAGAUCCAUUGUUCUUUUCAUUCUCUGCACUUCUGUUGAGAUAAUUUUACACUUCUGCUCCACAAUUGAACAAUUAUUAGUUUCCUAAGUGCUACAUGAGUUUUGACAAAACAAAUCCCCGUAGAAUCAAAAUAAGUAAUUUUAUAUUCAGCAAAAAUGAUUUUCACAUUAGCCUGCAUGAAAUAUUAUUCAACCCAAUUAUCACAAUAUGUGGACAUGUAUAAUAAAUAAGGUACAGCAAAUCUAAUACUCUAUGAC